UACGUAGGGCGCAAGCGUUGUCCGGAAUUAUUGGGCGUAAAGAGCUCGUAGGCGGCUUGUCACGUCGGGUGUGAAAGCCCGGGGCUUAACCCCGGGUCUGCAUUCGAUACGGGCUAGCUAGAGUGUGGUAGGGGAGAUCGGAAUUCCUGGUGUAGCGGUGAAAUGCGCAGAUAUCAGGAGGAACACCGGUGGCGAAGGCGGAUCUCUGGGCCAUUACUGACGCUGAGGAGCAAAAGCGUGGGGAGCAAACAGG
Molecule: ribosomal RNA, 253 nt
Filed under: uncultured bacterium
Lineage: Bacteria
Description: partial 16S ribosomal RNA
Rfam family: Bacterial small subunit ribosomal RNA
Source: RNAcentral